This 2727-nucleotide unclassified non-coding RNA is filed under the name Hevea brasiliensis (rubber tree). The record is from RNAcentral. Lineage: Eukaryota; Viridiplantae; Streptophyta; Magnoliopsida; Malpighiales; Euphorbiaceae.
GGCAAACAGAAAAUGAUAAAUUGAUUUAGAUACCAAACCGUGGGCUCAAGAGGAAUGUCAACAAAUCAAUGGAUUUUAACCUUUUCCACUACACUCAUCAGUACGCAAACGAAAGAAAGUUCUAUAAAGCUAAACACCCCGCAGCCGCUGGCGCCACACAUGAAAGAAUCCCCGUCCACAAGUUGCAGUGAAAAUCGCUUGUUUUCGUGAAUUCUCCUCUCUGCUCUCUCCCUUUUCUUCCUUCGUUUCUAUCCAUUCUGCUUUUGCCGCCUUCGCCUUCGCCUUCUCCUUUUUAACGUAACAAGAGGAAGAAGAACAAAGUGGUCUCGAUUCUAAAAUGGUGGCGGUCGCAGAUUCUAAUGCUAAUUCGAACGUGGGGCAGCUGAAUUCUGGUGGAAAUGAAACUACUACUUUAAAUGGAACGAUUUCAAGAACCAGUAGUGGCUUCUUCUCUCCAACAAUGACGGAGGAGCCCUGCAUUUCUUGUACCACUUUCAAUAUCCUGGCUCCAAUCUACAAGCGGCUCGAUCACCAGAACCAAAACAUCCGUGAAAGCGAUUUCAGGGCAUUCUGGUUCACCAGGAACCAAAGGAUUUUGGAUUGGUUACUCAUCGAAAGGUCUUCCAUUAUAUGUCUCCAGGAAUUCUGGGUUGGCAAUCAAGAACUAGUGCAUAUGUACCAGGAGAGGCUUGGCGAUGCGGGCUAUAUAACCUUCCAGCUUGCCCGGACCAACAACCGAGGAGAUGGCCUGCUAACUGCUGUCCAUAAGGACUACUUUAGGGUUCUAAAUUAUCAAGAGUUGCUCUUCAAUGACUUUGGAGACCGUGUUGCUCAGCUGCUGCAUGUUCAGUCGGCGGUGCCCCUCAUGCAAAACCAAAAUGGACUGGCUCAACAAGAAUUUCUUAUUGUGAAUACUCACCUGUUGUUUCCUCAUGAUUCUAGUCUCUCUAUUGUGAGAUUGAAUCAGGUUUACAAAAUACUACGGUGUGUGGAAACAUAUCAGAGAGAAAACAAACUAAGCCAUAUGCCCAUCAUUCUCUGUGGUGAUUGGAAUGGAAGCAAGCAUGGGCAUGUAUACAAAUUCCUUAGGUCGCAGGGAUUUGAUUCAUCAUAUGAUAUUGCUCAUCAAUAUACCGACAGUGAUGCAGAUGCUCACAAGUGGGUGAGCCAUAGAAAUCACAGGGGUAACAUUUGUGGUGUCGAUUUCAUAUGGCUUCGAAAUCCUAUUAAAUCAAGGAAGCUGCUGAAGGCAAGUUGGGCUGAAGCAGUAUUUGGAAUAAUAAAGGUUCAACUCCUGAAAGCUUCACUGAAUGAAAGUGAUGCAUUUGCAUAUUUUAAGGCUGACGAGCCUGGUGAUUAUAUAACAUAUUCGGCUUUCUGUGAAGGACUGCGCCAGGUACUUUCAUCUUAUGUGCUUUAUUAUAUGAGAUAUAAGCCCCGAGUGGCACUGCAUAGAGAAACUGCUCUUGGCCCUCUUUAGUUAUUUAUUUUCUUGGGAAAUGCUGAAUCUGUGUUCUGUAGAAGCAAGCUGCCAGAAUGCAGCACAAUUGCAGCACCAAAUGGAGCUAUUAACUUAAGGGGAAAGAUAGACUUACCAUGUUGUAAUGAUACAGGUAAAUUUGAUUGGUCUCCCUUUUGGACUGAGUUUCCAGGAGACAAAAGAUCUAUGGAUCCUAGCAGACAUUGAUGGAAAUGGCAUUGUUGAUUAUGAAGAAUUUAAGGUUUGUAAAUCCCUUAUUCAUGGUUACUGUCUUAAAUAUUUGUUGUUAAUUUUCUCCUUUAUUUUAUUUUCUGAAAUUUUGGCACAAUUAUCUGGUAUAAUAAAAUGUUAAGAAAGUUUUAGCAACAGUAACAAGUCUUUUGACUCCGUAUAUCUGUGUGUUUGUGCAUGUCCUGUUGUCAUGAUGUGCUGCAUUAGAACUUGAAGUUACAACUAAUUGGAUAUGUUACCAAUUUUAGCUUGGAAUAUUUCCGUGUAUAAAUUUUAAAAUAUUGUGCUUUUUGAAUAGAUUUUAGGACACUUCCGACUCCUCUUCGACUUUAUUUCUGCCUUGCGUUCUUUUCUGCUAUUUGUCUGCAUGUAUACUUCGUUUAAUAACAAUAUAUUUAACUAUUGCAGCUGACGAUUUGGAGGUCAGCAUGUCUGGAGCAAGAGGAAGAUUGUGCUGCAAGUACAAAGGAGACUGAGCCAGGUGUAGAAGAAGCUAUCGGCUUCACUGUAAAAGAUGCUGCUCUUUUCCCCCGUGAAGCAGAGAAAGGGAUGUGGCCUGAAAAUUAUUCUCUUUCUGAUCAUGCUCGACUCACUGUUGUGUUUUCACCAGAGAGAAUGCAUAGCUCUCGGAAAAUCUUAUAAUCAACAAGGGUACGCUUGUGGAUCAAACUAGCACAAAAUGAUGUAUAGGGUAGAGUCCAGAGCGUGUAGAUGACAAAUAACUGUGCAUAGUUCAUAGGCAUCCCUUGUUGGGUUGCCUGUGUCUUCGUUGAUUAAAUUUUCCAUGUAAAAGUUUUGUAACUAGUUGUGAUCUAGCCUCUGCCAAAAUUUUCAGGUGGAGAAUUUUGUAUAUCCUAGAUUUCUAUUGUAAUGUGAAAUGCUUAGCAAAAACCUCUUUUGCAACUGCAAAGGGUAUAAAUAUGUGAUUAACCUAAGAUCCCUCUGUUAAAUUCUUGGGUGCACUGAAAAAACAGUGAUAACUAGGAUUUUGGAUCAAUUUGAUGGUUUUAAUUUCA